This is a long non-coding RNA of Pyrus x bretschneideri (Chinese white pear), 1200 nucleotides long. RefSeq lists it as uncharacterized. Lineage: Eukaryota; Viridiplantae; Streptophyta; Magnoliopsida; Rosales; Rosaceae. The record is from RefSeq and is a predicted model, not a curated record. The transcript is spliced from 3 exons.
GGGUGCAUUACUCUUUGUAACCCAACUAAUAUACUAUUUUGUAUAUCUUUUGCAAACAAUGAGUUGACAUUCGAAGUGAUUGAGAAAUCUUGGUGGGCUUAAUCAAUAAUAAUUUUAAUUUUUUAGUAUAAUUUCUGUUACUCAAAGUAUAUGCGUAGAGUAUUUCUUCUUAUAUAUGAUUGGUACAAUUAUGUUUGAACAUCUCUCAAUAUGAGUAUGAGCUCAUUAUUGUGCAUGGUUAUUCGGUUAUACCAAAACAAUACACUUUCUUUCUAUGUUUUUAUGAACGGGGAGUUGAGUGCAAGUUUUUAUGAACUGUAGUAUACUGUAUUUUGUUUUUAUUUUGCAUAUGGAUCUUAUCAUGUUCAUCUCAAUAUUAAAUGAAAUUUCUACCCUUGCCAAGCAUGGUGUUCACAAAUAGUCGUACUCGAUGGUUUUUCUUGUUAUUUCCAGGUAUAAUUCCCACUUCUCUCUGCCUCCUUCCCCACUCCUUGCUCCUGUUGUGACUGAUUUCCUAAGAUGGUUUGUCAAGGAGAAAGUUCGUGAACGAAAGAAAUCUAAUUGAGAGGCCAAGGAGGCCCGAAGAAAAUCCAUUGAAAAAUGAGUGAUGAAGCUAAAGCAACAUUUGAAAGUUUGAGGAAUUACUAAAGUUAAGUAAGAAUUAUAGUUUAAUAAGAUGGGUAUGUUUCACAAUCUAAAGACACAUCGAGAAUACGAAAUAUGAUAGGCUAUCGAUAAAGCAUGGCUUGAAAGAAGGAAAAAAUUCAUGCAGACAAUUAUGGGAGUGAUAGAUUUUCGAAUGAAAUGCACUCAACGGAUUCCAGUGGGGUUGGCUGAAGCAGCUGCCGCAUAUGACAAAUGGCAGCCAAGGUUCCCUAAAUUGCCAUGCUUUUAGUUUUAGGAAAUAUGACAAGUUGAUAUAAAUAAAUAAAUAAAUAUAUAUAUAUGUGUGUGUGUGUGUAGAAAACUUACAUCUCGUGAUAGAUUGUGUUGCUAGAUAGUUUUUCACGUUCCUAACCAAAAUAAAGUUUAUCAUGCUAUUCCGUCCAACUAUUGAUUUGUAACAACCUUAUGUAAAUACUUUUUACACACCAUUUUUAUAACACAUUUAGUCUUGUAUUUGAAGACUUAAAUACAAUACUCCUAGUUUCAUAUCUAAACUAAACACUUAUUGCUUCUCUAUGAAGUCUUGAUAAAAUU